AGGAUGAACGCUGGCGGCGUGCCUAACACAUGCAAGUCGAACGUCCUGUCUCGCAAGAGGCAGGGAGUGGCGGACGGGUGAGUACCACGUGGGUUAUCUACCGUGAGGUGAGGAAUACCGGCGAGAAAUCGCCGACAAGACCGCAUAGCCUCGGUGCAAGCCGAGGAAAGCUUUCUCGAGAGAGGGAGCGCCACACGAGGAGCCUGCGCCCGAUUAGCUAGCUGGUGGAGUAACGGUUCACCAGGGCGACGAUCGGUAGCUGGUCUGAGAGGACGAUCAGCCACACUGGGAUUGAGAACGGCCCAGACUCCUACGGGGGGCAGCAGUGAGGAAUUUUCGUCAAUGGGGGCAACCCUGAACGAGCAACGCCGCGUGCAGGAAGAAGGUUUUCGGAUCGUAAACUGCUUUUCGUCGGGGAAGAGAACGGACGGUACCCGAGGAAUCAGCCCGGCUAACUACGUGCUAGCAGCCGCGGUAA
RNAcentral lists this ribosomal RNA (478 nucleotides) under uncultured bacterium. RNAcentral describes it as "SSU rRNA". It matches the Rfam family "Bacterial small subunit ribosomal RNA", at positions 26 to 523 of the family's 1533-position model. The record is from RNAcentral.